AACAUCUUUAAACAAAAUAAGCGAUCUUAAUGAAGAAAUAAAAAAGUUACGUUCUGAAAAUGAAGAUUUAACUUCAAAGUUGUCGAGUGCGGAAGAAAAAAUAAAAUCUUUGGAAACUCGAGUGCAGAAAGCUGAGUUCCACCAAAGCAAUUUGGAAAGCAAGU
This is a long non-coding RNA of Eupeodes corollae, 164 nucleotides long. RefSeq lists it as uncharacterized. The record is from RefSeq and is a predicted model, not a curated record. Lineage: Eukaryota; Metazoa; Arthropoda; Insecta; Diptera; Syrphidae. The transcript has 2 exons.